RNAcentral lists this long non-coding RNA (535 nucleotides) under Nicotiana tabacum (common tobacco). RNAcentral describes it as "long non-coding RNA (NTAB_LNC019075)". Lineage: Eukaryota; Viridiplantae; Streptophyta; Magnoliopsida; Solanales; Solanaceae. The record is from RNAcentral.
GAAGGGUAAUUGAAAUACUAAAUUUGCAGGAGAAAGCUUUAACAAUUCUUAUUUAAUUUUUUUUUUUUCCUUUUUACAUUAACAAAAAAGCAUGCAUAAUAACAAGAAUAAAGACAACACUUCCCCUCUCUUAAUUUGCGUUGUGGCAAAUUCUAGCAGUUGGAUUUGACACACAAACUUGAUAGUACUUCUUCUUGGCUUCUGGGGAGCCGCGCUUCGGCUCCUCGUCGGCCAUGGCGGCCUUUGCCACUGAGCUAGCGGCAACGGCCGCCAUGGCAAAGAACAACUCUCUCCGGCCACUGUUGUUGCUCUCUUUCUUGUUGCUUAUUACAAUAUUUUCUCCCUCACAUGGCACCUUUGAACUUGCCUUCACCAUGACAACCCCGCGGCGGUUCGCGGCCGGGACUUUGGUCAAGGCCGCGACGGAGCCGCCGGCCAAGGAGGUUGUCAUUGUCAUUGAAGCCAUUUGAUCAACCCAAAAAUUUUCCUAGUUUGAUUGCUUAUUACUUGCUUUCUGUUUUGUGCAAAGGAAUGG